Molecule: ribosomal RNA, 986 nt
Filed under: uncultured bacterium
Lineage: Bacteria
Description: bacterial SSU rRNA
Rfam family: Bacterial small subunit ribosomal RNA
Source: RNAcentral
AGAGUUUGAUCCUGGCUCAGGAUGAACGCUAGUGACAGGCCUAACACAUGCAAGUCGAGGGGUGGCAGUGUAGCAAUACAGCUGACGACCGGCGCACGGGUGAGUAACGCGUAUGCAACCUACCUAUUACAGGGGAAUAACCCGGAGAAAUCCGGCCUAAUACCGCAUAAUACUUUCGGAUGGCAUCAUUUGGAAGUUAAAGAUUUAUUGGUAAUAGAUGGGCAUGCGUUCCAUUAGUUAGUUGGUGAGGUAACGGCUCACCAAGACGUCGAUGGAUAGGGGUUCUGAGAGGAAGGUCCCCCACACUGGUACUGAGACACGGACCAGACUCCUACGGGAGGCAGCAGUGAGGAAUAUUGGUCAAUGGGCGAGAGCCUGAACCAGCCAAGUCGCGUGCAGGAUGACUGCCUUAUGGGUUGUAAACUGCUUUUAUACAGGAAUAACAACAGCUACGUGUAGCUGGAUGAAUGUACUGUAAGAAUAAGGAUCGGCUAACUCCGUGCCAGCAGCCGCGGUAAUACGGAGGAUCCGAGCGUUAUCCGGAUUUAUUGGGUUUAAAGGGUGCGUAGGCGGUCUAUUAAGUCAGUGGUGAAAGUUUGGAGCUUAACUCUAAAAUUGCCAUUGAAACUGGGAGACUUGAAUACGGUAGAGGUAAGCGGAAUGCGUGGUGUAGCGGUGAAAUGCAUAGAUAUCACGCAGAACCCCGAUUGCGAAGGCAGCUUACUGGACCGUUAUUGACGCUGAGGCACGAAAGCGUGGGAUCAAACAGGAUUAGAUACCCUGGUAGUCCACGCCGUAAACUAUGAAUGCUAGCUAUUGGCGAUACACAGUCAGUGGCACAGAGAAAUCGUUAAGCAUUCCACCUGGGGAGUACGCCGGCAACGGUGAAACUCAAAGGAAUUGACGGGGGCCCGCACAAGCGGAGGAACAUGGUGUUUAAUUCGAUGAUACGCGAGGAACCUUACCCGGGUUUGAACCGCAAGUGA